AGUAGCUUGGUCGUGAGGUAACGGCUCACCAAGGCGAUCAUCAGUAGCUGGCCGGAGAGGGCGAACGGCCACACUGGAACUGAGACACGGUCCAGACUCCUACGGGAGGCAGCAGUGAAUAAUUGGCAGCAAUGGGCGGAAGCCUGACGCAGCAACGCCGGGUGGAGGAUGAAGGCCUUCGGGUGUAAAACUCCUGUCAGUGGGGACGAAUGCCUCGCAAGAUGUUUGAUGUACCCGUUGAGGAAGCCACGGCUAACUCCGUGCCAGCAGCCGCGGUAAUACGGAGGUGGCAAGCGUUGUUUGGAAUUACUGGGCGUAAAGGGCGGGUAGGCGGGUAGUCAAAUCAUGUGUGAAAGCCCCGGGCUUAACUCGGGAAUGCACCUGAAUCUGCCUUGCUUGAGUCCUGGAGGGGGUAGCGGAAUUCCCAGUGUAGCGGUGAAAUGCGUAGAUAAAGGGAGGAACACCUGCGGCGAAGGCGGCUACUUUGACAGUGAAUGACGGUGAGGCGCGAAAGCUAGGGUAGCGAACCGGAUUAGAUACCCCGGUAGUUCUAGCCGUAAACGAUGGACACCUGGUGUUGGGGGUAGUGAGUCCAUCAG
This 599-nucleotide ribosomal RNA is filed under the name uncultured bacterium. RNAcentral describes it as "bacterial SSU rRNA". It matches the Rfam family "Bacterial small subunit ribosomal RNA", at positions 240 to 843 of the family's 1533-position model. The record is from RNAcentral.